AAAAAAAUCAUUUUAUGAUCUGCUGAAUCAAAGAGUGCCAUGCAAAAUAUUUGGAUUCUUCCAUUAUUUCAUGCAAACUAUAUGCUAACUGACUCUACCAAUGCUAAUGUCCUAGAGGAGACAAAUUUUCCCCUUUCUUGCUUUGAUUUCUCUAUCAAGCUUUUCUAGGUUACAUGUGUUAGGGCGUGUUUACUUAGAGAAAAGUGUUUUUUGUUUUUCAUCUCCAAUUUUUUUAGAAAAUUGGAAUAAUGUGUUCUGCAGAAAAUUUAGAGAACAUGUUUAUUUAUCAAAGUUGGAAAAAUGUUUUCUCUUUAAAAAAAUGGAGAACGUGUUUAUUUGUGAGAAAUGGAAAACAAGUUUCCUAUUUUAAAAACCAG
RNAcentral lists this unclassified non-coding RNA (377 nucleotides) under Hevea brasiliensis (rubber tree). Lineage: Eukaryota; Viridiplantae; Streptophyta; Magnoliopsida; Malpighiales; Euphorbiaceae. The record is from RNAcentral.